AUGCAGACAUCACAAGCCCAGGACCAAGCCUCCAGGCAGGCCAGACAAACAGACAAAUCCCCUGAGCCCUCUGGAGGUCCGAAGACUCAACAGAGUCAGGAUAGUCAAGACAGUGAGAUGGACGCAGCUGAGAACCAGCCUUCCUCACCCUCUCCCUCACCCCCUUCCCCCAUCUCCCUCGCCAGCAGAAGUGACGCAGGAGACAGUGAAGAGUUGUCGGUUGUGGACGAGGAAGGUUCCGAAGAAAUGAGCUCGGCAUCUGUCGGGGCCAAGACCAGUACUAGUCCCGUGUACACCAGUGGCAUCAGAGAAGAGGCGGACGGCAGUUUAACAUACUGCCUUAUGGGUGAUGGAAUAACCAUUCUGUCUGAUAAAGAGUACUUGACCAUCAGUUCGACUUCGGACAGGCCCUCUAGCCUUACCUCAAACACCUCAUGUACCCCCAGUGUGGCUCCACACACUACCUCUCAAACCUCCAGGACCAGAUCCACCCCCCCCACUAGGGUCCGAUCCACCACCCCCAAAAGUACUUCCAUCCCCCACAGCUUGUCCUCGCAAACCACAAGCUCAACAAACCCCAAUUUGUCAUUGCAAACCACCUCUGUCCAGCAGACACCAGCUCAGCCCUCCUCUAAGCCUACAUCCAGCCUUUCCUCUAGGAUGUCUGACCUCAACAUCAGCCACUCAGUGCAUCCUCUCCAGCCCCAGCAUGCUACACCUCCUCUUCCCAGCCUCUCCUCCCAUACCUCCAACCCCAACUCCAGGAUCUCUGAUUGCAAACACAGCAUCACCUCCGAUCGUAAACACAGCAUCACCUCCGAUCGUAAACACAGCAUCACCUUCGAUCGUAAACACAGCAUCACCUCCGAUCGUAAACACAGCAUCACAUUCAAGACUACCAAUGCCUCCAACAUCACUCGUUCAGUCAUCCAAUACAAUCCCCAGCCCCCUGACACAUUGCCCCCCUCGCAACCCCCCGCACGCCACCCCUCUCCCCAGCCUCCCUUGUCCUCACUCUCUCCCCCCAUUCAGGCUGCACCUCUCCAAAACACACACCCUACCUGGAGACAGGAGACAGAAGGGGAGGAGGACGAAGAUGAGGAUGAGAAUGAGGAGGAUCCCAGAAAAGGCAUGAUGAAGGAAUUUGAGAUGUGUGUGGUUCUGACCAAGUCGUGGAGUGGUAGCUUUGGGUUCACCAUCACACGCAGCAAACUGGAUGCCUGCUACUACAUUCAGGACAUACUGGACAACCCUGCUAAGACGGACGGACGGCUCAGACCAGGGGACAGACUAGUCACGGUAUGCACACACACAUCGGCACACACACAUGGACAAACACAUACACAUAGGCACACAUUAUCUUUACCUGUCUCUCCCAUAUUCCCCACUCCCAGGUCAACGGCCAAGAUAUGACGAAUGUGACGGAUGAGGUUGCCAUGUCGAUCCUGAGGUCGUCUCCUAGGAGACUGAGUUUGAUCCUGGGGAGGGCGGUGACCAACCUGAUCGCUCCACCUUUUCCAGACAACCUGCAAGACAUCAUACUGCACAAGACACCGACUGGACAGCUUGGUAAAACACUGAAUGGGAGCGUGACUAUUAGUAUUUAUCAGAUGGGAGAACUAUAAUAUGGGAAGCCAGUGUGAGGGUCUGCGCUCAGGCUGCAAUGUAUGGUGGCCGGUGCGUGGGAGAAAAAAAUCUGUGUAGAACUACAUAGGUACUCAAACCAUGUAAAGGGAAAACCAAGGAGGUCGAGAUGCAAAAAUAUACUUACAUUUAAUCCAUCCUCAAACGGUUAUUAAAAGAUCCUCGUUGCGAAGUGCUAAACAAAGAAAGGAGCGUACGUUUCGGCUUCUAUGCCUUCGUCGGUGCUGUACAAACUCAUUAAGGAGGCACGGACUUAAGAAGACACACCUGCUGUGCGUAACAGAUGCACAGGUGCAGGGAAAAGGUGCUCUGUUACAAUUUCAACCUUUCUGUCUGUAUUAUAUCGCUAAUAUCUGGAUGGUGCUCAUUAGGGCACGCCAUAGCAAACACUUUGCAAUGGAAAACAUUCAGUUGUUUAGGUUGUAUAUCCUCUGGUUACUCUGUUUUCUUCUGUUUUUGUCCCUAAUGAACACGUCUCUCAGGUAUAAAGCUGACGGGUGGUAUAGGCAGCAAAUGGCAGGGGAUCUACUGUCUGGAGGUGGUUCCUGGUUCACCUGCGUGUGAGGAAGGCAGCGUCCAACCAAACGACAGGAUCCUGUACAUCUGUGGCCGAUGCACCAUGGGAAUGACUCUGGAGGACGCUGUCAAGGCCUGCGAGACUGCUCCGCGCAAAGUGAAACUUAAGGCCACCAGGUGUGUGGGGUUGCCUGAAUGUGUGUGUGUGUUUUGUAGGAAUGCAUGCAUUUUUUUUGUUAAAUGAUCCGUCUGUUUGCUUUCUUUCUUGUUUCUUGUAGAGAUGACCAGCCUGUGACUCCCAAAGCCAAGAGUAAUGGUGCGUAUAAGAUCAUGUACUGAGAUGCUUUAACCUCCCGGUGACCACUAUGUUCAGUUCAGGACUCUCGGUGUAUGUGACUGCUGGUUCACAUAGAAACAGACACGAACUGAAACACUGGAAUGUUGGCUAAGUGUUGCAAUGGGUUAAGUUGAUGGAAUGAGAAGUUUGUAACCAGGCAGGUUGAUGCCUCAUUGACGAAGUAGAUGCUAUUCUCAGAUCAAUCAUUACCAGGUUAGAUAACCAUAUUACCUGAGACAGAAGCUUCAUGGUUUGGUCUUUCAACAUUACGGUGUGUGAUUCUGUGUCCUGUCUGUCUGUGUCCAGGUCUCAGUGACCUGAGAGAGUGGAAGAAGGAGGAGCAAAGGGAAUAUUUCAGUGGGACCUCUCUCUCUCGCUAAUAUUUGUUAUUGGUCUCGCUCCUCUCAUCUCUUUGUCUGUGUUUGUAGCCGUAGCCCGGUGCUGACAGACAGUGUGUGUGUGUUUGUUGACGGACAGGGCCUGUGCUGCCACUGCAGGAUUAAUUAUUACAGAGCAUCUAAACCUCCACUGGGGUAUUAGACCACACACACACACACACACACACACACUAGUUGUUUGUUGACUGUGAGGGGUGAGGUAGAGGGACAAGAGAGGGGCAGUCUGAAAGGCCAGUGUUGUCUACCUGUUCGA
Molecule: long non-coding RNA, 3148 nt
Filed under: Oncorhynchus mykiss (rainbow trout)
Lineage: Eukaryota; Metazoa; Chordata; Actinopteri; Salmoniformes; Salmonidae
Description: lncRNA (ENSOMYG00000064632.1)
Source: RNAcentral